GAAAAAUGUUGAUGGGAAAUAUGGAGGAAGGUCAAGGGAAAAAUGGGAAUUUUGGAAAUUAGUUGCGGGAAUUACAAAAUAAGACCCAUAAUAAGUUGGGCUCAAAAGAAAUGAAAAAAAAAAGGAAAAAGAGGCCCAAAACCUAUGGGAUGGCCGGCCAUGGGAAACAAAGGGCCCAAGCCCAUGUGCUAAUUUGAGUGAUCAAAUAAAUGGAUAAAGGGUCAUUAGCUAUCUUCAUAGUAGAACUUUCAAGAAACAAAAAAAUGAAAGCACAACAAAAGGGCCAUUCGGCCGAAUAGAGAAAAGAGAAAAAAAAAAUCCUUGGAGCUUUAAUCUUUGGUUCAAAAAUCCAUCUCUCUUGAAUUCCUACUAAGCUCGAGACCCUCUUCAACGCGAUAUAAUUUUUGGGGCAAGAAAGUACUUUAUUUUUGGCAAGUGGAAAAGUUGGAAAGAGAUAUUGGAGAGCUCGAGACUUGAGUUGGGAUUUGUUUGGCGAGGGAUCAAGAUUUGGUAGUGAGCGAUCGAGGUACAGACGUUUGUUUUGGUGAUCCUCCGGUAUAGGAUACAUAUUCUGCCACUUGGAGUACUCCUUUUGAUCCGGAGCUCAUAUUUUUGGUACAUAUCUUCUGUUAUACGUUCUGUAUAUGUAUGGCUAUUUGGGUACGGCGGGGCCCUGUCCCGUCAUAUGUUUUUGUUAUGUUUUGUAGAGGCCUGUAGUCAUAUAUGUGGGUCAUGGGUCAUGUUUGUUCGUUUGUGAUUACGAUCUGCGUCUUAAUGCGGCCCCGUUUGCUAUUAUGGCCAAAACGGCCCAUUUGUCUGUAUAUGUGUAUAUAUCUGGCGAUGUGUAUUCCGCCAAUCUAUCGGAUUUGGAUAUGAUGUUUCUGUACGGGCGACCGAUUAAGACGAUAUUUGCUUCCAGUAUUUGCUUAAAUUAAUGUAUGUUAAGUUUGAUUAA
Lycium barbarum (goji berry) is the source of this 955-nucleotide long non-coding RNA. RefSeq lists it as uncharacterized. The record is from RefSeq and is a predicted model, not a curated record. NCBI's taxonomy places the organism in Eukaryota, Viridiplantae, Streptophyta, Magnoliopsida, Solanales, Solanaceae. The transcript has 3 exons.